Equus caballus (horse) is the source of this 1705-nucleotide long non-coding RNA. The record is from Ensembl. Lineage: Eukaryota; Metazoa; Chordata; Mammalia; Perissodactyla; Equidae.
GUGACGUCGGCGGCGGCGGGCGGGAUUUCCCGGCCCCUCCCGGGCGCCAGACUAGACCCUGGUGCGGAGUGGGCGCGACCAACGUGGGCGGGAGGAAGCGGGGCCGGGGGGCGCGCGCUCGGCGCCCUCAGGGCAUGGACGUCCUCCUGCAGCCCGGCACGGGGGGCUGAGCGGGCAGAGUACUUGGCGUCCGCUGACUCCGCUCUCAAACUGGGCACCGGCUCGGCCACCUGCGCCCCCUCGGCCUCGCGUCGUCUGUCCUCUGCCCGGGCGGGGAGGCGCGGGGCGGGGCGGGGCUGGUGACGCGGCCCGGAGACCCCGGGGCGGCGCGGGGCGCGAGGCGCGCGUUUGCACCGCGAACCCAUCAGCGGCGAGGCGCGCGGGAGCUGGGGCGCUGAGCCGGAGCCCCCCCGCCCGCCAGCCCCGCGCCCGGAUGAGGAGCGAUGCCGCUCGGUCUGGCCGCCCCCCGCGUGCGCCGCGCCGGAGACAAAGCCCGCGCCUGAGCGGCUCCCUCGGCCCGCGUCCCCGCGCCGCUGUCAGUGCAGGCGCGCGAAGCGGGGACUGUGAUCACCCCGGGCGCCCGCACAGGUGGGCGUCGGCGCCCGGCGCUGGCAGGUGCGGGGCUCCUCGAACCCAGGACCUUCCGCCGAGCCCUGGGGAACCCAGCGCAGGUUUGGACAGACUCGGAACGCUUGGGGGGUCUCGGGGGUCGGGGUAGCCCGAUCUCUGCAGCUUGAGGCGGGAGAGGCUCCUGGGGACCCCUUUCCCAUAUGUAGGUCACGGAGCGUUCGCUGUUCUCUCGGCAGCGACGUCCCCCGUUGAAGAGGACCGUAAUGGAAGGGAUGGAGUGGCCAGGUGGUCAUUUUAUUUGGGGACAUGUUUUUGGCGAGUGCCUGAAGAAGCCCUCUUGAUUCCCCAACCCCCCGGGACGCCUGCCUCGAGAGCAGUCCGGUGGCGAUAGUCCACGACAAGGCGAGGGCUUGUCCCCCCGCACCCCGCCCCUUAUGGCGUCUGUCCCCGAGGCUGGUGCUGAAAUGGGCUGCACUCGCGGCGUGCGCACCCAACGGCGUUGGGGGAGCUUUGGUUUAAUUUUUUAGUUGCCCUACAAAUAAUAACUGGAGGGUGAGGUAGGGGGGCAGAGGUGUGGCUGGAGAAGACUUCUUAAUAUGGGAGGAUUUACUUAUUUUUGUGUGGCUUGGGCUAGGGUGUUAGGAAAUCCAAAAAUGUUAAAGUUUGAUCAAGUGAGAAAGUGGAUCGUGGACACCAGAUCUCCCACCGUCUUCCCAGCUCUCCACCGCUGUCGGUUCUCUUCUCUUUCUGUUGUCUCCCAGGACUGUAAAAGGCUGGCACAGGGCCGGCCGUUUGGGUGAGAGCAAAAGGCCUCCUGGGCAGCACUGGUGUUCCCCGUUAAAACGUGUCAUCCCUAUCAUCUGCUCCUGAGUCCUCACUGUGAUGCGUCCUUCUCACAGUGGGACAGGAAAAUUCAGUGGCAGAUGCCUCAAAGCGGCAGCGAGGGAACCUGGGCUCUGUGGCUGGCUUCUUGAUUCUUUGGGGAAAUCCUUUUCGUGAUUUUUGCAUGCUGCGGGGGAAGAGAGGCACGCUGCCAUCUGAUCUGGCCCUGUUCCCUGCAGGAGGCUACUGUGGGAACACCCGAGGUGAUAAAUGGAAAGCCUUUUUCAGUCCUGAGAAGCAAGACACUAUACAU